CCUUGACAUACUAAGAACUUUCCAGAGAUGGAUUGGUGCCUUCGGGAACUUAGAUACAGGUGCUGCAUGGCUGUCGUCAGCUCGUGUCGUGAGAUGUUGGGUUAAGUCCCGCAACGAGCGCAACCCUUUUCCUUAUUUGCCAGCGGGUCAUGCCGGGAACUUUAAGAAUACUGCCAGUGACAAACUGGAGGAAGGCGGGGACGACGUCAAGUCAUCAUGGCCCUUACGGCCAGGGCUACACACGUGCUACAAUGGUCGGUACAAAGGGUUGCUACCUCGCGAGAGGAUGCUAAUCUCAAAAAGCCGAUCGUAGUCCGGAUCGCAGUCUGCAACUCGACUGCGUGAAGUCGGAAUCGCUAGUAAUCGCGGAUCAGAAUGCCGCGGUGAAUACGUUCCCGGGCCUUGUACACACCGCCCGUCACACCAUGGGAGUUUGUUGCACCAGAAGUAGGUAGUCUAACCGCAAGGAGGACGCUUACCACGGUGUGGCCGAUGACUGGGGUGAAGUCGUAACAAGGUAGGCGUAGAUGA
Molecule: ribosomal RNA, 531 nt
Filed under: uncultured bacterium
Lineage: Bacteria
Description: bacterial SSU rRNA
Rfam family: Bacterial small subunit ribosomal RNA
Source: RNAcentral